ACAUAGAUUUUGUUUAAUCAGGCCUAUAGAUGAUAUGCUGAAUUGAUUCGUGUUACCAAACACCAUGGACCAUGGAAAAAAAUAGAAAAACUGGAGAACAACUAAUUAUUUGAGAUCAAACCAGGCACAGAUUGUCAUUUGUAGUGGUUGUCUAUAUGUGAUUAGUUUGGUUGCAUAUUCCAAGAUCAAAUUGGAUGCUACAGGGCAAAUAAAUGUUUAAAAUUGUUGUACAUGGAGUAGAAAUUAAGCCUUUUGUUGGCCCUGUAAAUACCCCUACUGAUAUUUCAUUGAUACAUUUCUUUUGAUAUGAAAAGAUAGACACCAAAACAGUUGUUGACGGCCUUGUGGAGACCUCUGCAUUUGUUAUUUUUCCUGGUGGAUGUUGUGUAGUUCUCAAACUUUAAAAUACCCCAUAUUGUUCCAUUUUUAUAUGUACCUUUUUAUAAUAAUACAAGGUACUGACAAAAUGAUAAAAUUUGAUAUUUUAUACCAUUUUUAAAGAUGGGUGAAAUUGAAAGUUAACUUGUUUAACACAGGAUGUUUUGUAAAUGAAAAAAAAAAAUGCAUUUCUAUUGCAGGAUUAUAGACUCCAUGAUGCAUCUGGUUGAAAUCUUAGUUAUAACAUAGGCUUAUAAAUGUAGGUUAUGUAGGUAUUUCCAUGUUGGUAUGUUUUGGUGUAAUUUAUUUUCUGAUAUUUAAUUGUAAAGUAGCACUAGCUAGAACCCCCAGUUUCCACUGUGCUUGGAUUGACUGGUUAGUGAUCCAUAUGCAUAAACACAAAACACACACCAUGCAGUUAUGUUACAAGAAGCUAGCUAGCAUACUACAGAGGGUGUCUAAGGACCAGAAGGUGCAUAUACUACAGAUGAAAGCAGUGCAUAUUAAAAGCAGAUAGCCAUAUAAAGUUCAUGCAUAAAAAAUAUGUUCAAAAGUGUAUAUUUGUGCAGUGUUAAUUAUACAAACAACAAAACAAAAUGAAAAAGAAUGCAGAAAGUUGAAAUACAUAUAAAAAGGGAGA
Molecule: long non-coding RNA, 1018 nt
Filed under: Mytilus galloprovincialis (Mediterranean mussel)
Lineage: Eukaryota; Metazoa; Mollusca; Bivalvia; Mytilida; Mytilidae
Source: RNAcentral